CAACCCUCGAGCGCUGUUCCGCUUGGAGUUGGGGCUCUUGCAGCAAGCACUUUGGUGCCCUGCAAGCCCUGAAAUUCAGCGGCGGGCCCGCCGGCACACCGAGCGCAGUAAUACUACUUCUCGUUCAGGGCGUGCGGCGCGGCGCAGCCGACAUCUUAAAACUUUCCAA
Molecule: unclassified non-coding RNA, 169 nt
Filed under: uncultured Phaeoacremonium
Lineage: Eukaryota; Fungi; Ascomycota; Sordariomycetes
Description: sequence contains ITS2
Source: RNAcentral